UGGCUGUUCGCCAUUUAAAGUGGUACGCGAGCUGGGUUUAGAACGUCGUGAGACAGUUCGGUCCCUAUCUGCCGUGGGCGCUGGAGAACUGAGGGGGGCUGCUCCUAGUACGAGAGGACCGGAGUGGACGCAUCACUGGUGUUCGGGUUGUCAUGCCAAUGGCACUGCCCGGUAGCUAAAUGCGGAAGAGAUAAGUGCUGAAAGCAUCUAAGCACGAAACUUGCCCCGAGAUGAGUUCUCCCUGAGACUUAGAGUCUCCUGAAGGAACGUUGAAGACGACGACGUUGAUAGGCCGGGUGUGUAAGCGCAGCGAUGCGUUGAGCUAACCGGUACUAAUGAACCGUGAGGCUUAACCUU
Molecule: ribosomal RNA, 357 nt
Filed under: Salmonella enterica subsp. enterica serovar Anatum
Lineage: Bacteria; Pseudomonadati; Pseudomonadota; Gammaproteobacteria; Enterobacterales; Enterobacteriaceae
Description: partial 23S ribosomal RNA
Rfam family: Bacterial large subunit ribosomal RNA
Source: RNAcentral